This 492-nucleotide ribosomal RNA is filed under the name uncultured bacterium. RNAcentral's name for it is "partial 16S ribosomal RNA". It matches the Rfam family "Bacterial small subunit ribosomal RNA", at positions 29 to 507 of the family's 1533-position model. The record is from RNAcentral.
AGUGAACGCUGGCGGUAGGCCUAACACAUGCAAGUCGAACGGCAGCACAGUAAGAGCUUGCUCUUACGGGUGGCGAGUGGCGGACGGGUGAGGUAUACAUCGGAAUCUACUUUUUCGUGGGGGAUAACGUAGGGAAACUUACGCUAAUACCGCAUACGACCUACGGGUGAAAGCAGGGGAUCUUCGGACCUUGUGCGAUUGAAUGAGCCGAUGUCGGAUUAGCUAGUUGGCGGGGUAAAGGCCCACCAAGGCGACGAUCCGUAGCUGGUCUGAGAGGAUGAGCAGCCACACUAGAACUGAAACACGGUCCAGACUCCGACGGGAGGCAGCAGUGGGGGAUAUUGGACAAUAGGCGCAAGCCUGAUCCAGCCAUACCGCGUGGGUGAAGAAGGCCUUCGGGUUGUAAAGCCCUUUUGUUGGGAAAGAAAAGCAGCAGGUUAAUACCCCGCUGUUCUGACGGUACCCAAAGAAUAAGCACCGGCUAACUUCGUG